UCUCCGUUGGUGAACCAGCGGAGGGAUCAUUACCGAGUUUACACUCCCAAACCCCUGUGAACAUACCAUUUGUUGCCUCGGCGGUGCCUGCUUCGGCAGCCCGCCAGAGGACCCAAACCCUUGAUUUUAUACAGUAUCUUCUGAGUAAAUGAUUAAAUAAAUCAAAACUUUCAACAACGGAUCUCUUGGUUCUG
RNAcentral lists this unclassified non-coding RNA (194 nucleotides) under plant metagenome. RNAcentral describes it as "partial contains small subunit ribosomal RNA, internal transcribed spacer 1, and 5.8S ribosomal RNA". The record is from RNAcentral.